UGAAUGAUAACUGCUAUCUCUUGUGUAACUAUGUGAAGGCACUGAACAAGGAAAAUUGUGUCGGUAAUACAUUUGUAAAAUUAAUGUUACUUACCUUUUGCCGACCAGCGGGUCCAGGAUUCAUUUGCAAGGAUGUAUGGUUUCUUAAAAAUGGAUUAAAUUCGCUUCACGAAAUAACAUUACCCUUUUUACUUAAAACGCCAUAGUCAUACUUGUACCUUUUACUUUAUGUUGGCUUCAAUAUUAUCGUGUUUACUUUGAUAAAAAAAAGGCACCAUAUGUUGUAGAUGACAUCCAUACGUACUUUUCAAAAUUAAGUAAUUUUUAAACGUAGUUCCUGAAAUGAGACAUAAAAGAAAGAGGUGGUAGAUACUAAAUGAACAUUCAAGUCUCGUAAAUCGAAGAGAAACCGACAACGUUUAAAAUCGUGAUAAAAAAAAACGAAACAAUAAACCGGUCCUAAAAAAAUACAAAGAAAAUUAGAAACACGAACUCAACACAAAAACGGGGUGAUCUUAGGUUUAUCGCAAUAAGUAAGGUGAAACUGUGCUACUAACUAUCUACAAAAAACCAAAAUGACACAGACAUUAACAACUAUAGGUUACCGUACGGCCUUCAACAAUGAGCAAAGCCCAUACCACAUAGUCAGCUAUAAAAGGCCCCGAUAAGACAAUGUAAAACAAUUCAAACGAGAAAACUAACGGCCUUAUUUAUGUAAAAAAAUGAACGAAAAACAAAUAUGUAACACAUAAACAAACGACAACCACUGAAUAUAUAGGCUCCUGACUUGGGACAGGCACAUACAUAAAUAAUGUGGCGGAGUUAAAUAUGUUAGCGGGAUCCCAACCCUCCCCCUUAUCUGGGACAGUGGUAUAACAGUACAACAUAAGAACGAACUAUAAAAAUCAGUUGAAAAAGCCUUAACUCAUCAUAUGGACAAAAAUAUAUUUGGACGUGGCCGGGUACUUAUACAUCCCGACACAAAAAGACACAAUGAACAGAUCUGAGAGUACUCGCAGUUAUCUGACAGCUAAUUCAAAGCCACUAACAACUAAUAAAAAAAUCAUGCAUCUAAGACUAAACUAUCAAUCCGUACACAUCCUACAUCCAAUGGAUUUAGUGUAAAGACAUCAUAAACAGCCAGAG
Molecule: long non-coding RNA, 1146 nt
Filed under: Mytilus galloprovincialis (Mediterranean mussel)
Lineage: Eukaryota; Metazoa; Mollusca; Bivalvia; Mytilida; Mytilidae
Source: RNAcentral